GGACAGAAGAAUUCCUGGUACGUUGCUUCACGGAUCGGAUGGGGCGACGUUUUCUGGAGACGAUCGAUUGAGGUUUCGGUUGAUGAUGAUGGGAUCAAUUGAGUUGUUGGGCAGAGGAUUGAAGGGUUGAUUGAUGUCUUGGAUUGCUUGAUUUGAGAUCAGUGAUCUGCUUGUUGACCUCUUCUCUUGAUCCGAUCAGUGAGGUGAGUUCUGUUGCUGUGAGGCUGGGAUUGUGAUCUUUGAGGUGUAUCCAGCAGCUUUCCCUAACCGGCAGCAACCCCUUUGGUUGUGAUCUAUUGGUGAUCACCUUGGAUUCGAGGAGUCUGAUUUGAGACAGGCGUCUCGACGUUGAAUUCGGAUUUGGAUUGUACCUUC
Zingiber officinale is the source of this 375-nucleotide long non-coding RNA. RefSeq lists it as uncharacterized. The transcript is spliced from 3 exons. The record is from RefSeq and is a predicted model, not a curated record. Lineage: Eukaryota; Viridiplantae; Streptophyta; Magnoliopsida; Zingiberales; Zingiberaceae.